Long non-coding RNA from Pleuronectes platessa (European plaice), 1511 nucleotides. RefSeq lists it as uncharacterized. NCBI's taxonomy places the organism in Eukaryota, Metazoa, Chordata, Actinopteri, Pleuronectiformes, Pleuronectidae. The transcript has 2 exons. The record is from RefSeq and is a predicted model, not a curated record.
CACACACACACAGACACACACACACACACAGCACCUGUUGGCUGUGUUGGGAACAGGGAAGUGAAAUCCUGACUGUUGCCAACACAACAUGAGGAAACCAUCAGGCCUCCACUUCCUGUUGGCUCUGCGUCCGCCCUCCAUCUGCUCAUUUCCUCUUCUGACUGACGCCUCUUCCUGACUGUCUCUGAGAGAACACACACACACACACACACUCACACACAAACACAGACACACACCUCGCUCUACACCAUACGAGUGCCCUGCAGACUUUAAAAAACAUCAGUGCAUUCGGGACUUAGUGGAACACGGUGCCGCCAGUGGACACUAAUUGGCUGGCAAAGUGCACAGGAGCAUCUGCACCGAGCGAGGGGUAGAAGGUCCAAGGUCACAAUGGAAGACACACUCGAAGGUAGUUGAGAACGACUGUGGGUCAGAUCCAGACUGAUCUGUCCAAAGGUAUCUGAGCAGCUUGUGAUGACCAACCAACUGGACAUUGUGGUGAUAGAUGUAGGGUUCAGUAAGAACAAGGAAAACGAGAAGUUAAAAAGACACCAGGGUUUGAAAGUGGAGCGACAGAAGAUGUGGAAACUGACGGCCACAGUGGUGCCAGUGGUACUGGCAGCACUCAGGGCUGUAACCCACAGACUGGGAGAGAGAGGCUCUGGAAGAUUCCAGGAACAACAUCUGAGAUCUCUGUCCUGGGAACAGCUGAGACACUGCACUGCAGAACCUGCAGCCUCCAAGGCCAUUUUUAAAACAGGAUUAUAUCAAUAUUGAAAUUGUAUAAAAAAAAAUGUCAGUUUGAAGACUACGUUCUUAUUUAACAGUUUUUGGGUUAGAUGACAGAUGAUCCAUCCAAUACACCAUCUAUCCAUCCAUCUUCUAAGCCACUGAGAAACCAUAUUUAAGUAUUUAACACACGCACACACAGAGCAAGAACAUUUGAUUUGGAUUCAAACAACUUGCUGCUUAUGAAAUAAUGAACCACCAACUGAGUCAGAGCAGCUCUGCACCGUAUGUUUCAGUUCUGGCAGCGUGUUGGUACAAAGCUCUCUGAUCGGUGUCUUUCUCCUGCAGCAUCCCGCUCUCUACUCUCUUAUCUUUAUCAGUUGUUAACAUGCUGCAGAGGGAUAAGUGAGCUGCCAGCCUUAAAACACACACACACACACACACACACAGUGGACUACAGAAUCUGCACAACUCCAGUCUAAAUUAUUAAAAUUAUAAAACUACUCUGGAGCUGAGUUGGUUCAGAGCUGUUCGUCAUUUAGCUGAACUUCCAAUAUCAUCUCAUCAUUUUGUUGCAUGAUCAGUUCACAUAUGUUGCAUGAUGUUGGUCAGAUUCGUGCCCUGCAGCCGCCUGCUCAAAGUCCAGAGCACUGAGGCUGUGAGGAGGAUUUAUACUUCAUUAUGCACGAGGGUUUGAUUUAUAGUUCAGGGUCGACACAUCACAGAACGAAUGCAUCAUACAGCCGGUGCUUCGUCCAUUUAAUUAAAUUCUCUGCAGUAUU